GCCAGGCUCCGUGGCGCCUACCUGCAGUCCCAGCUACUCAGGAGGCUGAGGUGGGAGGACUGUUUGAUCCCCAGAGUCCUGGGCUGUAAUGCGCUAUGCCGAUCAGUAUCUACACUAAGCUCGGCAUCAAUAUGGUGACCUCCCAGGAGCGGGAGACCACCAGGUUACCUAAGGAGGGGUGAACCGGGCCAGGUCAGAAACAGAGCAGGUCAAAACUCCAGUGAUGAUCAGUAGUGAUAUCACGCCUGUGAAUAGCCACUGCACUCCAGCCUGGGCAACAUAGCGAGACCCCAUCUCA
RNAcentral lists this signal recognition particle RNA (298 nucleotides) under Saimiri boliviensis boliviensis (Bolivian squirrel monkey). Its description in RNAcentral is "Metazoan signal recognition particle RNA (ENSSBOG00000006597.1)". It matches the Rfam family "Metazoan signal recognition particle RNA". From Rfam's summary of the family: The signal recognition particle (SRP) is a universally conserved ribonucleoprotein. It is involved in the co-translational targeting of proteins to membranes. Lineage: Eukaryota; Metazoa; Chordata; Mammalia; Primates; Cebidae. The record is from RNAcentral.